Molecule: ribosomal RNA, 399 nt
Filed under: uncultured bacterium
Lineage: Bacteria
Description: bacterial SSU rRNA
Rfam family: Bacterial small subunit ribosomal RNA
Source: RNAcentral
AAAGCAUCGGAACGUAUCCGGAAGAGGGGGAUAACGUAGCGAAAGUUACGCUAAUACCGGCAUAUUCUGUGAGCAGGAAANAGGGGGAUCGCAAGACCUCUCGCUUUCGGAGCGGCCGAUGUCGGAUUAGCUAGUUGGUGGGGUAAAGGCUCACCAAGGCAACGAUCCGUAGCGGGUCUGAGAGGAUGAUCCGCCACACUGGAACUGAGACACGGUCCAGACUCCUACGGGAGGCAGCAUGGGGAAUUUUGGACAAUGGGCGCAAGCCUGAUCCAGCCAUGCCGCGUGAGUGAAGAAGGCCUUCGGGUUGUAAAGCUCUUUCGGCGGGGAAGAAAUUGCUCAGGAUAAUACCUUGAGUAGAUGACGGUACCCGCAUAAGAAGCACCGGCUAACUACGUG